AUUGAACGCUGGCGGAAUGCUUUACACAUGCAAGUCGAGCGGCAGCGCGGGGCAACCUGGCGGCGAGCGGCGAACGGGUGAGUAAUGCAUCGGAACGUACCCCGUCGUGGGGAAUAACUACCCGAAAGGGUAGCUAAUACCGCAUACGACCUGAGGGUGAAAGCGGGGGACCGAAAGGCCUCGCGCGAUGGGAGCGGCCGAUGCCGGAUUAGCUAGUUGGUAGGGUAAAGGCCUACCAAGGCGACGAUCCGUAGCUGGUCUGAGAGGACGACCAGCCACACUGGAACUGAGACACGGUCCAGACUCCUACGGGAGGCAGCAGUGGGGAAUUUUGGACAAUGGGCGAAAGCCUGAUCCAGCCAUUCCGCGUGAGUGAAGAAGGCCUGG
This 387-nucleotide ribosomal RNA is filed under the name uncultured bacterium. Its description in RNAcentral is "bacterial SSU rRNA". It matches the Rfam family "Bacterial small subunit ribosomal RNA", at positions 29 to 419 of the family's 1533-position model. The record is from RNAcentral.